AUUACCUACGGGACGCAGCAGUGGGGAAUAUUGGGCAAUGGGCGCAAGCCUGAACGAGCGAUGCCGCGUGAGUGAAGAAGGCCUUCGGGUCGUAAAGCUCUGUUGCGGGGGAAAAAGGCAGCAUCAGGAAAUGGGUGCUGACUGAUGGUGCCCCGCCAGAAAGUCACGACUAACUACGUGCCAGCAGCCGCGGUAAUACGUAGGUGGCGAGCGUUAUCCGGAAUGAUUGGGCGUAAAGGGUGCGCAGGCGGUCCUGCAAGUCUGGAGUGAAACGCAUGAGCUCAACUCAUGCAUGGCUUUGGAAA
RNAcentral lists this ribosomal RNA (305 nucleotides) under uncultured bacterium. RNAcentral describes it as "bacterial SSU rRNA". It matches the Rfam family "Bacterial small subunit ribosomal RNA", at positions 334 to 632 of the family's 1533-position model. The record is from RNAcentral.